This 250-nucleotide ribosomal RNA is filed under the name uncultured bacterium. RNAcentral's name for it is "partial 16S ribosomal RNA". It matches the Rfam family "Bacterial small subunit ribosomal RNA", at positions 107 to 353 of the family's 1533-position model. The record is from RNAcentral.
UGAGUAACACGUGGGCAACCUGCCUUGUAGAGGGGAAUAGCCUUCCGAAAGGAAGAUUAAUACCGCAUAACAUUACAUUUUCGCAUGAAGAAGUAAUUAAAGGAGCAAUCCGCUACAAGAUGGGCCCGCGGCGCAUUAGCUAGUUGGUGAGGUAACGGCUCACCAAGGCGACGAUGCGUAGCCGACCUGAGAGGGUGAUCGGCCACAUUGGGACUGAGACACGGCCCAGACUCCUACGGGAGGCAGCAUG